CGUUAGUUGCCAUCAUUCAGUUGGGCACUCUAGCGAGACUGCCGGUAAUAAACCGGAGGAAGGUGGGGAUGACGUCAAAUCAUCAUGCCCCUUAUGACCUGGGCUACACACGUGCUACAAUGGUUGGUACAACGAGUUGCGAGUCGGUGACGGCGAGCUAAUCUCUUAAAGCCAAUCUCAGUUCGGAUUGUAGGCUGCAACUCGCCUACAUGAAGUCGGAAUCGCUAGUAAUCGCGGAUCAGCACGCCGCGGUGAAUACGUUCCCGGGCCUU
This 272-nucleotide ribosomal RNA is filed under the name uncultured Streptococcus sp. Its description in RNAcentral is "partial 16S ribosomal RNA". It matches the Rfam family "Bacterial small subunit ribosomal RNA", at positions 1109 to 1382 of the family's 1533-position model. Lineage: Bacteria; Bacillati; Bacillota; Bacilli; Lactobacillales; Streptococcaceae. The record is from RNAcentral.